GCAGGCACCGCCUCUGCGCGAGCAGCGGCCGUUGAGAAGGGCCUUGUGCGCGCGCCCGCGAGGCAGUUAAAGGGCGGGCGGGGGGGUGUGUGGGGGGGUGGCACAGCCCAGCCUGUCAGUGCGAGACCCGCCGCGAGGGGCUCGAGCCGGCAGCUCCCCGUGCCGGGCAGCCUGAGGCGGGCAGUGUCGCGGGGGAGAGAGGAGAGCGCUAGGUUUAAAAGAGAAAAAAGGGAGGGACGGCUAAGGAGCCGGGGGAUGCGGUGCGCUCGGCUGAUGCCUCGAGUAUUUGCUGUCUCUUUUAGAAAUCUCAAGAGAACGUAUGAGUUUUCAGAAAAUGGAUGAAUGAAUACCCUCUAGAGGCAGAGUUCAGUUGGGGAAAAUUCCAAGAUACGGAGAACAGGUAUCAGUGAACAUAAACAAUACUGCUGUGCAGAGAAGAGAGUUGGGAUUACUCAAGGCUCACAUAAAUACAUACAGGAAAAGUUGGCUUCCGUGACAUGUUAUAGGAGUGAAACUAUGAAUUUCAUCCAUUACUUCCACCAUCUGGACUUUGUGUAGAUGGUAUGGGAGCUGGAAUAAAAUUUGAGGAUGAAAAAUGGAUGCUAUACUUCAGAAAUUAGGAAGCUUCCUUCUUUAACAAGAUGACCUGUCCAGAAGAAUAUAACAACAACAGAUAGUAAAUUUCUGAACUCCUCUGAGGAAUGUCUAAAAAAUGACAUUGCAUUGUUGUUGAGCACAUUCUCUUUGCUGAAAGAAAUGGAGGAUGCCAAGAGGAGAGAGGAGCCUUGUGUCAGAGCUCAGCAGGCAGCUUCUGAUCCUCUCUCAUUCUGAUUCAUCAAGAGCAACCAGAUGAAUGGCAGAUGGAGAACCUCUUUUCAAGUGAACUUGGAGCAGACACUGUCUUGGAGAGAAGAAAGAAAAAAGAGAGAACUGCAAAGAAAGUUUGCAAGCCCUAUGCUCCUGAAGGGCUGCCUGCUCUUCCUUUUAGCAGCAUACGAGGUGAGUUCUGUUUGAAAGAUUUUGGCAUAUCUUUAUGCUGAAGAGCUAUGUGUCGCUAAGCAACAUUUAGCAGUG
Molecule: long non-coding RNA, 1074 nt
Organism: Aquila chrysaetos chrysaetos
Lineage: Eukaryota; Metazoa; Chordata; Aves; Accipitriformes; Accipitridae
Exons: 7
Source: RefSeq, a predicted model, not a curated record